UAUUCAAGGCGUUGCGGACAAAGGAGCUUAUCUUCUUUCACUAUAAACGUCGAUACGCCUGUCCCUCCUCGUUCGCUCGCCGACUCGAGCGAGAUGGAGGGGAAGGGAUCGGAUUCGCUGUCGCCUAGCGAUUGGGCCUCGAGGGCGCUGCCGUCGUCGUCUCCUCCCGCAAGCAGAGGAACGUCGAUGAGGCGGUGGAGAAGCUGAUGUCGAAGGGAAUCGAGGUGAUGGGGGUGGUCUGCCACGUUUCGAAUCCCCAUCACCGGCACGAUCUCAUCGAGAAGACCGUCCAGAUUGGACAAAAGUAGAAAGAGAGAAAGAGACAGAGAAUAAUUUCGGGAAAAGGCGCCAAAAAUUCUUUGAUGUUGAUGAACAACACCGUCAUGCAAAAUUCAGAGCUGUCACUGCCAGACACGUUGGUGCCUUGGGCUUUUACCUUGCUUCAGACACUCAUGAGCAAAUAAGACAGGCCUUAGAACAGCUGCAUGAUCCUUUUUCUCAUCUGAUCAGCUGACCACCAACAACUAUGGAACUUUCCAGAUUCUUGGACUGAACCAACUUAGACAGGAUGUUGUUAGCCAUCAACAGAGAAUUGAUGAAUUUGAUGGGAUUUGUGGUUUUAAUUGCUGAUCCAUGCACACUUUUAUUUGCAAUGGAGAACCCCUCUGAAUUGCUUUUGUUGCCUCUCUCAUUAGCUCGGUGUCAUUUGUCUAGAAUAUGCUUUGGAGUGUAGCAUCCUGAUGCACCCAGGAGGCGAGAGGAAUCCAGCAGAUGGAGGCCAAGAUCAAAUCAAAUUGGACAAAAGAAGAGGGUGGUGUUUGUCAAGUCAAUGCCUGGUUUUGUAUAAUUAGGUAUGUGUCUUUGUGGCUAGAUUAGGCUGCUGAAACUAACAUAUGGACUCCUUAUAUUGUCAAUGAUGGACUAGUUGGAGAGAAGUAGGACAUUGGUGAGAAGAUAUACUUGAUCAAUUUUCAGCCUCCAUCAUGUUAGCUAGUUGAUGAAAUAUGGUCACAUAGGCAUAGUUGUGUCGAAUGCUGCUGCUAAUCCGUCAGUGGAUAACAUUCUGGAUACCAGAGCGUCAGUGCUUGAUAAACUUUGGGAGAUCAGUGUGAAUUCCUCAGUUCUUAUUCUGCAGAUAAUUUAUAUGCUAAUGGGGUUUCACUUAGCCUUAUUUGAGAAUAUUAACUUCGUGUCUUUUGCAAGCUGCUGCAUCUUACUUGAAGAUGGGAUCAUCCGUCAUCCUUAUAUUUUCAAUUGCAGGUUAUCUUCCGCAGUCAUCCAUGGCCAUGUAUGGUGUCACAAAGACUGCUCUUCUCGAGCUUACUAAGGCUCUUGCUGCUGAGAUGAGUGAACUGUAUAGCUCCUGGAUUUGUGCCCACACAUUUUGCUGAUUUUAUCACGAAAAUGAUGCCAUCAGAAAAACCAUAGAGGAGAAGACUUUGCUUAAGAGGCCCGGGACUACCGAAGACAUGGCUUCUGCUGCAGCCUUUCUGGCAUCUGAUGAUUCAUCCAACAUUCCUGGAGAAACACUUGUGGUUGCCGGAGGGAUGCCUUCCAGGCUAUAAUCCAUUCCCAGACUUCACCCUGUGAUGAUCAUUUGUUGCUGCUGCCAACACAUGCCGAGUCUCAAGAACAUCAUUUUGUAGGCAGAGCAGAAUUAGACAUGCUGUAAUAAAUCAUUCAACCAUCUGAAGUUGGAGAUAUUGAAUUUAUUUUGUGCCUGCUUAGUGAAAUUGAGUUGUGUUUACCAUCUGGGUCAUUCUUGAUGCUUGCGACAGGCAGCCGUCAAAUGCUGUGGUCAAACAUAACUGUAACCCUUUUUUUGGGAAAAAAACGUCGAAGCCAAUAGCUUCUUAUGAGAAUUCACCUUAUUUUAAUCAUUGAUUUUGUGUUUGUUCUUA
This is an RNA transcript of Musa acuminata AAA Group (dessert banana), 1901 nucleotides long. It is a transcript of the gene named short-chain dehydrogenase/reductase SDRA-like, with no coding region annotated. Lineage: Eukaryota; Viridiplantae; Streptophyta; Magnoliopsida; Zingiberales; Musaceae. The transcript is spliced from 6 exons. The record is from RefSeq and is a predicted model, not a curated record.